RNAcentral lists this ribosomal RNA (582 nucleotides) under uncultured bacterium. Its description in RNAcentral is "bacterial SSU rRNA". It matches the Rfam family "Bacterial small subunit ribosomal RNA", at positions 31 to 579 of the family's 1533-position model. The record is from RNAcentral.
GAACGCUGGCGGCGUGCCUAACUACAUGCAGUCGAACGCUUUUGUUUUCACCGGAGCUUGCUCCACUGAAAACACAAAGAGUGGCGGACGGGUGAGUAACACGUGGGUAACCUGCCCUCAAGCGGGGGAUAACACUUGGAAACAGGUGCUAAUACCUGCAUAACAAUCAGAAUCGCAUGAUUUUGAUUUGAAAGGCGCUUUUGCGUCACUUGAGGAUGGACCCGCGGUGCAUUAGCUAGUUGGUGAGGUAACGGCUCACCAAGGCCACGAUGCAUAGCCAGACCUGAGAGGGUGAUCGGCCACACUGGCGACUGAGACACGGCCCAGACUCCUACGGGAGGCAGCAGUAGGGAAUCUUCGGCAAUGGACGGAAGUCUGACCGAGCAACGCCGCGUGAGUGAAGAAGGUUUUCGGAUCGUAAAACUCUGUUGUUAGAGAAGAACAAGGAUGACGAGUAGAAUGUUCAUCCCGUGACGGUAUCUAACCAGAAAGACCACGGAUAACUACGUGCCAGCAGCCGCGGUAAUACGUAGGUGGCAAGCGUUGUCCGGAUUUAUUGGGCGUAAAGCGAGCGCAGGCGGU